CCAGGAUGGUAUUUUGUUAAAACAGCUGAAUGGACUAAGACAAGAAAUUCACAGCAAGGAGAAAAUUACCUGAGUCUUACCAAUCUGUUUCUCACCCUUUCUACCCUGAAUGAGACCAUUCAGGCUUUCUUAUUAUCUUCAGGUUUACUGGAUGUUCUCCUAAAAACGUAUUUCAGUUGGUCAUUCAGUUGUUAAAUUAGGUUUAGCCUAAAGCUGCCUCCUUACAUAUUUUAAAUUCAGCCAAAAGGUUUCUCCAUAGUAAACUGUAACCUAACUAUAUGUGUAAACAGAGCAUAACCUACUCUUCUGCUAAUCACCAAGUAUUGGCCAAUCAAAGGUGACCAACUAUUCAAAUCGUGUUCAAAUAAGGCAAAUGCCAAACUGUAACCAAUCCAGAAAUAAGGCAAACACCAAACUGUAACCAAUCCAGCUGUUUCCGCACCUCAUUUCCAUUUACUAAUGUCACUUUCCUUUUUCUGUCCAUAAAUCUUCCAACAUGUGGCUGUACUGGAGUCUCUCUGAAUGUACUCUGGCCUGGGGAUUGGGGGUGUAGGGGCUGUGGAAGUGGAGGUGAUCCCAGAUUCAAGACUCAUUCUUUGCUCAAUUAAACUCUUUUAUUUUAUUUUAUUUUAUUUUUGAGGUGGAGUUUCACUCUUGUUGCCCAGGCUGGAGUGCAAUGGCGUGAUCUUGGCUCACUGAAACCUCUGCCUCCCGGGUUCAAGCGAUUCUCCUGCCUCAGCCUCCUGAGUGGCUGGGAUUACAGGCAUACGCCACUACGACUGGCUAAUUUUGUAUUUUUAGUAAAGAUGGGAUUUCUCCAUGUUGGUGAGGCUGGUCUUGAACUCCCAACCUCAGAUGGCAUCUGAAGUGAGAUCCAAAGUGGAGCUUACAGAGACCUCCAGGAGCACUGAAUGGCCAAGACAGGCUACCUGCUAGGCCCAUGGUGUCCACUGCUUUUGUGCAGCAACUGGGGCACGGAAAGGGGUGGGAAAUCCCUGGAGCUGCAGGUUCCUCCCUGUUUUAGACUAUAUAAGUUUUUAGCCUCUGAAUUAAGAGUUCUGCAUAGGUAGCCAUGGUGAAGUCUGGAAACACGUUCUCAGUGCCUCAACCAGCAGCUACAAGUCAGAGUCAAGCCCAUUAUGACCCCUUCUUCCUGCCUGAGCUUUGGCCCCAGAUAUUCUGAGAGGGGUUGGAUCCUCCAGGGCAUCGACCUCACAGCUCUGUCUUCUGUCCUGAGCUCUUCUCCUGGCAUGUAAAUUCAGGACUCAGAUAAGCCCUGCCCUUCAUAGCCACCUUGGAUGCUGCGUGACUACCUGUGAGUCAGGAGGACUGGAAAAGACAUUAGGGAGGGUACCUGUGUCCUACUUUCAAAAUGUUUUUCAGUAAUUUUAAAUCUUAAAGUGAUGUUAUGUUAAAGCAUAAUCAUAAAAUGGGAGUCAUUUGUAAGUUAAAAAAUAUUAAAACAUUAAUUACCAAACCUAAGUUUAAGUUUAUAUAGUUUGGCAUCUUAUUUUUGUAUGGUAUAGAGAAGCUAAAUAUAUUUACGUCUGUUAAUAAAAUAUAGGAAGAAACAUCUUUCUAAAAUUUAUAGAAUAAUUUAAUAAUUUUUAUCUGCAAAUACUGAUAUAAAACAGUUCAAAAUUACUUCCUAGGGAUUUCACUAAAAACUAGGGUUAAAGAGUUCAUGUAGUUAAUAUAUGUAAUUAAAACAACUAGAUGUAAGAAAAACAAUUCUGUAUAGUAUAUAAAAGCAAGAUAUGCUUUUGAUGAUGGAAGUUAUAAAGGCAUAAAAUGUAUGUUUGUUAAAAAAAAAUUUGUCUAGGCGAAGUUACUAGAGUUGCCUAGUUUGAAGUUUGUCCAGUUUGAAGUUAGUUAAAGGUUACUUAAGUUACUUAAAGGUUGUUUCAAAUUGAAGGAAUAAAAGGAAUGUAGAUAAAAUUAAAAUAUAAAAAGUUGAAAAAAUUUUUAAUUGUACGAGAUUAUAAAAGGGUUAUGGGAAUCUGGUGUGGUCAAAAGCUGACUGACAUUGAAUGAGUUUGUUUAUAAGGUUUUAUUAAAAUUAGCUUUAUUGAUAAUACACUAAUGCAAAAGUAAAAUUUGGUUUUCUCUUUUGAACAAAAAUUUCUUAUAGUGUUAAUAGUGAUAGCAAGAUAUUUUUGUUUACCUUUUGAGUAAACUGCAAAAAAUAAAAAAAGAGAGAGAGAGACAGAUUCUGCCUCACGCUGUCUUUCUCAGGUCUUUAGAUUGUUUGGAAAACUGCGUCUCCUCUAUCAGAGAGUAAUGUUUUUGCUUUUUAAAAUCUUUUCGUUAUCACUUUACCUAAAUAAAUGACUACUAUUUUAUGAUGACCUGUGACCCUAUUUUGAUCAAGUGUUUUAAACCUUUUAUAUUUGUUUGACAGGCUUCCCAAAAUCAAAUUUCCACUUCAAAAUUAAGUCUCUUUUGACCUUGAAUUUUAGAAUACUACAGAGAGCCCCUGAAGCCUCCAUAAGAGAGUUAACGGGAUUGAUAUGUUAAAUCAUAUGGAAAGCAUUGCCAAAUAAUAAAUGAUGUUUAACCUUCU
RNAcentral lists this long non-coding RNA (2563 nucleotides) under Homo sapiens (human). Its description in RNAcentral is "HSALNT0072551". Lineage: Eukaryota; Metazoa; Chordata; Mammalia; Primates; Hominidae. The record is from RNAcentral.